This 855-nucleotide ribosomal RNA is filed under the name Triticum aestivum (bread wheat). RNAcentral describes it as "partial small subunit ribosomal RNA". The record is from RNAcentral. Lineage: Eukaryota; Viridiplantae; Streptophyta; Magnoliopsida; Poales; Poaceae.
AUGCACGCCACACAAAAAGGCAGACCGGCCAGUUCCUCGAAAUCUAGGGCAUGUUCGGCUCUCCGCGGUAACACCAGUUUGCAUGCUCGUAAGCCAUCCGCUGCUGCAACCAAAACUGUUGUACAAGCGAAGCCAAAGAAGACCAAAGAGCUGGAGGAAGCUGAGAACGAAAUCCAAAGGCUGAACAAAUUGGGCUUGGGAGACGAUAUCAGCGACGAAGAGUAUCGUGUUUAUCUUAAACAGCUGCCUCGCAAGCCUGAUGUCGACAUCUGCACCAAGCUGGAUGCCGUGCAGCUCAAGGAGCUCAAUGAUCGCCAUGCGUUGUAUCGCCUCAAGUAUUAUCAGCUGUCACAACACGCGCCUGAGGAUAAGCUUUGCUAUGAUAAAUUGAAAGAAGACGACCCCCCUGGUUGUCGUCAUGUGAGGGAGAGGUCUUUUAAUUGCUCUGAGGAAGAUGGCGAAUUAGAUUGGUAUUUCCACCCUGAUUACUGCAAACUUGCUGGCCUGGAGGAUUACCAAGGGCUGGUCCCUCGAAAUUAUGGUGGUUUUGAGUAUGUCAAUUGGGAUGAGUACCACAAAGAUUGUCAUAGCUAUGAGAUUGAACAAGAAUAUGUCAAAUUCUGUGAAGAAUUGUCCAAGAAACUUAAGUGGAUUGAAGCUUAUGUGUUAAAUAAGCCUCCAUCUCUUAUGUGGGGAAAGAUUUUGACCAGAGGAACUUACGUAGCAAUCAAGAUCGCUACUGACUUCUCGAAGAUAUACGAUGGUUUAGCCUUUUCUGGCUUCUAUGUAGGGUCUCUCGUACACUUGUUAUUUUCAUUUAGGUGUUUUAUAUUUAUCAAUUGCAUAUUCUUUUAA